This is a non-coding RNA of Phrynosoma platyrhinos (Desert horned lizard), 71 nucleotides long. The record is from the annotation of a GenBank genome assembly. NCBI's taxonomy places the organism in Eukaryota, Metazoa, Chordata, Lepidosauria, Squamata, Phrynosomatidae.
GCCAGCGUGGCGUAGUGGUUUGAGUGUUGGACUACAACUCUGGAGACCAGGGUUUGAUUCUCUACUCGCCA